RNAcentral lists this ribosomal RNA (497 nucleotides) under uncultured bacterium. RNAcentral describes it as "partial 16S ribosomal RNA". It matches the Rfam family "Bacterial small subunit ribosomal RNA", at positions 28 to 507 of the family's 1533-position model. The record is from RNAcentral.
GAUGAACGCUGGCGGCGUGCCUAAUACAUGCAAGUCGAGCGAACAGACGAGGAGCAUGCUCCUCUGACGUUAGCGGCGGACGGGUGAGUAACACGUGGAUAACCUACCUAUAAGACUGGGAUAACUUCGGGAAACCGGAGCUAAUACCGGAUAACAUGUUGAACCGCAUGGUUCAACAGUGAAAGACGGUCUUGCUGUCACUUAUAGAUGGAUCCGCGCCGCAUUAGCUAGUUGGUAAGGUAACGGCUUACCAAGGCAACGAUGCGUAGCCGACCUGAGAGGGUGAUCGGCCACACUGGAACUGAGACACGGUCCAGACUCCUACGGGAGGCAGCAGUAGGGAAUCUUCCGCAAUGGGCGAAAGCCUGACGGAGCAACGCCGCGUGAGUGAAGAAGGUCUUCGGAUCGUAAAACUCUGUUAUUAGGGAAGAACAAAUGUGUAAGUAACUAUGCACGUCUUGACGGUACCUAAUCAGAAAGCCACGGCUAACUACGUG